AAAAUCAUAACUCAAGUCGGUAGAGCAUGAGACUUUUAAUCUCAGGGUCAUGGGUUUGAACCCCACGUUGGGGUUUUG
Podarcis lilfordi (Lilford's wall lizard) is the source of this 78-nucleotide non-coding RNA. The record is from the annotation of a GenBank genome assembly. NCBI's taxonomy places the organism in Eukaryota, Metazoa, Chordata, Lepidosauria, Squamata, Lacertidae.